CGGUUCUCGUUAGAUCACCGAAGUCAAGCAUCAUUGGGCGCGGUCAGUACUUGGGUGGGUGACCACCUGGGAACACCGCGUGCCGUU
Non-coding RNA from Caerostris darwini, 87 nucleotides. The record is from the annotation of a GenBank genome assembly. Lineage: Eukaryota; Metazoa; Arthropoda; Arachnida; Araneae; Araneidae.